UCGAGAAUAAUUCACAAUGGGGGCAACCCUGAUGGUGCAACGCCGCGUGGAGGAUGAAGGUCUUCGGAUUGUAAACUCCUGUCAUCCGGGAGCAAGACCUGACGGUGAAUAGCCGGCAGGGUUGAUAGUACCGGAAGAGGAAGGGACGGCUAACUUCGUGCCAGCAGCCGCGGUAAUACGAAGGUCCCAAGCGUUGUUCGGAAUCACUGGGCGUAAAGGGAGCGUAGGCGGCGUGGUAAGUCAGAUGUG
This 249-nucleotide ribosomal RNA is filed under the name uncultured Luteolibacter sp. RNAcentral's name for it is "partial 16S ribosomal RNA". It matches the Rfam family "Bacterial small subunit ribosomal RNA", at positions 355 to 596 of the family's 1533-position model. The record is from RNAcentral. Lineage: Bacteria; Pseudomonadati; Verrucomicrobiota; Verrucomicrobiia; Verrucomicrobiales; Verrucomicrobiaceae.